Molecule: ribosomal RNA, 440 nt
Filed under: uncultured bacterium
Lineage: Bacteria
Description: bacterial SSU rRNA
Rfam family: Bacterial small subunit ribosomal RNA
Source: RNAcentral
CCUACGGGGGGCUGCAGUAACGAAUCUUCCGCAAUGCACGAAAGUGUGACGGAGCGACGCCGCGUGUAGGACGAAGCCCUUCGGGGUGUAAACUACUGUCAGGGGUUAGAAAGUUCUGAUCAACCCCAGAGGAAGGCACGGCUAACUCUGUGCCAGCAGCCGCGGUAAGACAGAGGUGCCAAGCGUUAGGCGGAAUCACUGGGCUUAAAGCGUGUGUAGGCGGACUUGUAAGUACCUUGUGAAAUCCCACGGCUCAACCGUGGAACUGCUUGGUAUACUGCUUGUCUUGAGCCACUUAGGGGCUACCGGAACAAAUGGUGGAGCGGUGAAAUGCGUAGAUAUCAUUUGGAACGCCAAUGGUGAAAACAGGUAGCUGGGAGUGUGCUGACGCUGAGACACGAAAGCCAGGGGAGCGAACGGGAUUAGAUACCCUUGUAGUC